This is a long non-coding RNA of Medicago truncatula (barrel medic), 8205 nucleotides long. RefSeq lists it as uncharacterized. The record is from RefSeq and is a predicted model, not a curated record. The transcript is spliced from 2 exons. NCBI's taxonomy places the organism in Eukaryota, Viridiplantae, Streptophyta, Magnoliopsida, Fabales, Fabaceae.
UGCUUUACUUGUUCGAAUUCCGAUUUUAUUUUGUCUUAUCUUUCUUAAUUCUUAGCGUUAAUUUUUGCUGGUUUCUUUUUGUUUUCAUUAUAUUGAAUUUUCAGUUUGCAACAUUGGGAUAUGAUGAUGAAAUCUUUGGAUUUGACAUCCACUCUUACUGUGAAUUUAUUCAUACUUGGUGAUUCAACCAUCGACCAACUGAUCCCAAAUUGCUUUACAUCGGUACAAUGGGAUAUGAGGAUAAAAUAUUCAAAUGUGACAUCCAGUCUUACUGUGAAUUUUAUUCAUACUUGGUGAAACAUCGACCAUCUGAUCCCAUUUACCAAAUUUAAUUUUUUUAUUAUCAUUUAUCAUCUCAUUUUAUUUGGAUGUUGGAUUUGAUGGUAUGUGUCAUAUAGCAUAUGUUUUAUGAAUGAUGAUUUAAUUUUAAACAUAGUCUGUUGGCUUGAAAUGCAUGCAUUUGUGAUGAUGUUUAUCAACGUUUCUCUUUUAGAAUAAGGCAGGUGUUUUCCUUUAUUUAAAUUUUUUAAAGGAAGUAAAGAAAAAAGGAAUGAUGAUUGAUAUAUUACUUUCCUCAAUUCAACUAUGUUUUAGUAUUAAUUAAUAUCUAAGGAAUGAUGAAUGAUAUAUUUUUCGUAAUGAUUGCUGGUAAUUUUGUGUGGAGAUUUUUUUAAUAAUGUUUUCUCUGCACCUCCCAUGACCUGCUACAUCCUUUUUUAUCUUGAUUUUGGAAGUUUAGCUCAUUUUAACAAUUGUGUUUGUAGUUUGAUACCUUCUUUUAGGAAUUAAUAUUGAAUUAUGGAACACUCAUUUGAUAUAACUUUAUUAUAAAUUGGUGAAAAAGAGGAUGUGAUGAUAGUAAUUGUCGCCCCAGUCUUAAUUUGCACUAUAAUAAUAGUGUAACCUGGUGACUGACUUCUUAUCUGAUCCUCUUAUUAUAUCUUCCAUAUAUCUUAGCGUUAAUUUUUUUAUACUGAAAAUCAAAUUAAUUUUUGUUGAUUUGCUUUUGUUUUUAUUAUAUUUCAAUUUGCAGCAUCGAUACAGUGGGAUAUGAGGAUAAAAUAUUUAAAUGUGACAUCCAGUCUUACUGUGUAAUUCAUUCAUACUUGGUGAAACAUCGACCAUCUGAUCCCAUUUUCUAGAUUUUAAUUUUUUAUUAUCUUUUUCGGGUUGAUGUUUUGAUUUGAAUGUUGGAUUUGAUGGUAUGGGUCAUAUACGAUAUGUUUUUUGAUAGAUGGUUUAAUUUUAGACAUAGUCUGUUGGCUUGAAGUUCAAGUAGAUAUGAUAAUGUUUAUCCAACGGUUCUGUUAUAGAAGAUGGGGUUUCCUUUAUUUAUUUUGUGGAGAUUUUUUUCAAUAAAAGUUUCUCCGCACCUCCCAUGACCUACUACAUGGUUUCCUUCUUUAUCUUGAUUUUGGAAGUUCAGCUCGUUUACAAAUUAGUUGGAUUUAAGUUUCUAAUGUGAUACCUUCUUUUUGGAAUUAUUUGGAUAAAUAUAAAGUAGUUCGAUUAUACCUUCUAUUUCUAUUAUAUUUAAUAUAUGUGUUACUCCUUUACUCACCUACCAUGCACAAGCACAAGGGCUUGACUAUGUUUUCCGAUUCCACAUUUUGUGUCGGCUCGAACCAGAUUCAGUCGGAUUCUUUCCAUCACCGAUUUUGGUGCUAAAUGCGGUGGUUUUCAUUAUGACACACAAGUAAUUCUCUCCCUUCUUUUUCUUUUUUGUAUUUUUAUUUGAGUUUGUUUGAUUUGAUAUUGUUGGUGAAAUUUUUCAAUUGAUCAAAGAGUCCUCCUUUUUUAAAGUUGAGCAUAAUAGUUUUGAGAUUCAUAGCUUACAAAAUGUUAAGGACAUUUCAUUACUUUGUUACCCUUAAGAAAGAGAAGUUGAUGGUUGUCAUAAUAGAAAAAGUAAUAACAUUUUAUAAGCUAUAAUUCUUAUUAUUACGUUAUGUUCAAAUUUUUAAAAGAAUCACUUUGAUCAAUUAAAUUAAAAUAUUGAACCAACAACAUCAAAGAAACUCAAAUAAAAGAAAAAAGAAUUGGGAAAUAUUUACAUGUAUGUGGGGGGUUGGGUAACUCAAGUUGUUUGAGCCAAGGGAAAAUGAGUUGGAGGUUCUGGGUUCAAAUAUGUGUGCGUCUUGAAAACCAUCGCCUUUGGCACAACUGUCCAAUUGAAUCUAGUUCGAUUUGACCCAGAACGUGGGAGUCGGAAAACAGAGUCAAGCCUUUGUGGUUGUGCAUGUGCAUGUUAAGUGAGUAACAUCUAUAUUGAUGCUGAUAAUAUUAAUGACUGUGAUAGAUAUUGAAGAAGACAUUGUUGUCUCUGGAACAGAUAGAACCUGACUAUCUGCUCAUGUGGCUGCAAACAAUUUUGUCUAGCUGCCAUUUAUUUAUUGUUUGCUUGAAACACUUUGUUAAAAAUAUGUUUGGGAUGAAGUGUAUACUGAUUUGAUAUUGAUUCAUGUAACCAGCUAUAACAAGCUGUAUUAUUAUCGAAUAUAUCAUGUUAGUUCAUUUUGAAAAACCAGUGCUUGUUCUGAAUAUGAUAUAUGAUAUGCUGCCAUUUUUCAGCCAUAGUUGGAUAACUAUUAAAUUUGUCUGGAUUCAUAGCCUGUUUUAUUUUCUUUUUUGUAUUUUUUGUUCUCUUGUAGGUAGCUAUUGCCUCCAAACAUGUGUCCUCCUCAACCUCUCAUUAACGUAUAUUCUCUUUUCAAAUAAUGCCAAUGGUAUUGUAAACCCCAAGGGAGAAAUGAAAGGUAAUAAUUAAAAUUGAAAUUAUUUGGUCUUUGAAACGUGUGUUGUAGAAAAUAAACAAUGAAAGAGAUAUAGAUACAUAUUUACAGCAUCACAUGCGAUCUUUGUAUUUAUUUAUCUUUCUUUGAUCUCAUCGUCUAAAAUUUCGAACAUUUAGAUGAGACAUGGACAAUUUUUAUAAAAAAAAAUAACCCUACAAACGGGUGGUGCUCUAUAUAUUGUGCUGGUAAGAUUCAUUGUUGGCUGGGCAAUGAUUAAAAAGAGAGAGGUCUUUAGUGGGAAAUACCCAAUUCAAUCGGGAAAUCAGAACCCAACUUCUAUCGGAGUUAGGAUCUUCUCCAUUUAUCAAUGUCCACAGAGAAAUGAAAAGAAAAAGAAAACAACGUUGUUAAGAACUUGAAGGUGUCGCCACACUAUUUUCACCAAAUGGGUUUGGCUUUGGUAUCUCAGGUUCUUAGUCUUCUUUCCCCUCUUCCUCUUUCUCUUACCGCCCCUUCAUAUGAACUGGGUUUUUUCCCACUGUGACAGAGCUUUCAUAAUUUACACUUCAUAUGAGCCCUGCACCUAAGAAAUUGUAUUGGGCAUCAAUAUUUUGAUGUUCAAGCAUCAUUUCAAGAAUCAAGCUUUUUCCUCUCUUUUUUUGGCUUGGUUUUAACAUCUGUGUUUGUUUUCCUAUGGUAUCUGAUAUCCACACAAUUCAAAAUUGUCUAGGCUUUGUAAAAAUGCAUGCAAUGAAGUGGGCGUGGUAUGAAUUUCUUUACAAAGUUGAUCUCUUAACAUUUGAAGAUCUUAUUGAUUUCACCCCCUUUUUGGUUAAUAUUUUCAUUAUCUAAUGCAUGCAAGGAAGUUGGGGUGGUUUGAGUACUGGUUCUCUUUUCUUCCUGAAUCAAGUUGCAUUCAGAAGAUUCAUACUUUGCUGGUUUAGCAGUGUGUCAUGAUACAUGCACAUCCCACUAAUUCUGGUAUGAAGUGAGCAAUAAUUUGAUACUGGUUUAUGUGGCCAGCUAUAUCAAGCAAUAUUAUCAAAUAUAUCGAGUUGGAUCUCUUGUGGAAUCUUUCUUUUCGCAAUUUCAUACAUUACAUUUUUAAUAUUAGUUGAUAUUUAAGCCAUUGUAGUCGAAAGCGGCGCUAUAGUGGCCGCGCGGUGCGGUGUGUUGCCGGAGCGCUACACAAUUAGCCAUAGCGUUGCGGUGUGAGAUAGCGGUGCAAUGCUACGUAGCGGUUUGGAACCACUAUUACAUUUUAAGAGAAAAUACAAAAUUGUCCUUGGUUUAAAAAAAAACAAGGGUAUUUUUUACAUUUUCAUCAAAUCCUAAAAAGUUUAGCUUCUCUCUUCCUUCUUUCAUUCUUACGCAAAACGGCGUUUAUCUGCAAAAUGCAAAAUGCAUCUUCUGCAUCUUCUCUCUGCUGUUCUGCUGUAACUUCCUCUCCUGUUAUUUUUUUUUUUGUUUAACAAUCUCAUACUCUGUUGUCCUAUUACUUUUUUGUUCUAGUUUUCUUUGUUAUUAUUGAUUCCAAACCCCAUUCUGGUCUCUCUGUUUCUGUUUGUAGUUUGUACAAACAAUCCUCUGUUUUGUUUAUAUAAAACUCUAUUCUGCUCUCUAUGAAAUAGCGGUCAUUGCCCUGUGUUAUCCCGCUAUAGCAUUUUUGGGGUCGGCCGCUACGCUCCGCUAUCCGCUAUUAACUACUAUGAUUUAAGCGAUUGUUUGCAAAAUAUUUUUUUCACAAUGAUUGCUGGUAAUGUGGUGUGAUGAUUUUAGUUGUUUAAAGAUAUCUCUGCACCUCUCAUGACCAGCGAUAUUAGUGCGUCCAAUCUUACCCCUACCCCGAUGAUUUCUCAUAAUUAUCAUAUCAUCCCUGUCUAAUUCAACGAUGAGUUUGAUAAAUAUAAUAUUGUUUGAAAACUGUUUUUGUUUUUGCAUUUUUUAUUUUUGUAUGUUUUUUGUUCUCUGCUAGAUAGUUAUUGCCUCCAGACAUUAGUCAUGUGUCCUCCCCAUACAAUGGUUUGAUACAGUUACAUGUCUGGAAAACUAAUGAGUCCAUCGUUACAGAAGUGACAGUUUUCUUGGUGCUCACUUCUGCUCCAUUUGGACUCCACAUCUAUGUCCUGAAUUAUGUCAGCUUGUCAUUACAAGUUCAGACAUUUUGCGGUGCAAGUUAAAAUUUGUUUUAUAUUGUCUCCAGACGUAAGUCAGGUAUCUUUUUCAACAGACUAUGGUUGAUACCGUUACAUGUCUGGAAAAUUAACUGAGUCCAUCGUUACAGGUGUGAUGAUUUUAGUGCUCACAUCUGCUCCAUUGGAACUCCACAUUCACAGUUCACUUUUAAAUAACAUCAUUGUAUACUAGGAUUAUGUUGAAUUUGUUGUUUCUAUGUCAAUUAAAAUGUUUGUGCUAUCUGACAGAUGUUUCAAAAUUUAAAGAAAUUUAUAACGCAACUUAAUUAAAUUUUAUAAAUUCAAUUUACACUAUGUGCGAAUUUCAAUUAUAUUUGUCUGAAAUACAACUCUUGUUGUUUGUAACAAUGGUUUUGAUAUGAUCUAACAGUUUGGCCUUAUUUUCAUACUUGUAAUUUGGAAAAUAUUUUGAAAUUGAAACUACUGGUUGUCCCUACGUUUUUAGUAUUUGAAAUACUUGGCUAUAUACUUGUUUCUCUCUUUGCCGAUGGUGCCACUGUUCAUUUUUUAUUAACAAGCAGAUGGUGUGCUAGUGUUAUUAUAACCUCAAGGGAGAAAUGACAGGUACUAAUUGAAGUUUUAAUUCUCUUUUGUAGAUGUGCUGAUCUGAAGUCUAAACUAAUGUAUCUUAAAAGUAAAAUAAUUGAGACUGGAAGGAGUAAAUAACUAUUCUUAUGAUAUUGUUACUCCAAAAGAUAAUGCAUAAACUUACAAACAUUGAAAUUUAAAGAUAUAUAUAUCUAUAAAGCGAUUUUGUGCUUGCUCCAUUUAUCUUUCCUCCUUUUAUUGUACAUUUAUGAGAGAGACAGACACAAGUGAAAGAUUAGUAUCUUUCCCCUGUAUAUCUCUCAUAAUUGACCAAUAAAUGGAGGGUAGACAAAUGUGGCAAACUCGGACUUUCCUAUAACAUAAAUACAUUUUAAAGUUAGGAUAAACAGUUUUACUUAAAACAUGUAGUAUAUCGCUAACAUUUUGGGUUAGUAUCCAAUUACCCAUAUGAUGACAUUUUGUGGUAUACUGUCUGUGUAUGCAGCAAACCUGUUUAUUCAAACUCUAAUAUAUAUUUUUGAGAGAAAUGCAACGGACAUAUUGUUUGAAUGUAUUUUGUAGGUAUAUAGUUAUUUUUCUAAUUUCAGUGUUUUAGUUACUGCAUAACUUUUUGAUUAAGCAAUAAUCAUGGUAAUUACUGUAUAAGGUUUAGCAUGAUAACAUCGAUGGUCAUUUGUGUUGUUUGACCGUGAUGUAUAUUCCAACAUCUAAGUGCCUGUUUGGAUGGGCGGCUGCAAGUCACGUUUUGCUAGAAAUCACGGCAAAAUCCACUUUAAUGUAGAAGCUACAAUUCUCAGCUUCUUAAAAUCACGGCAGAUUUACAUCAGUGUGCUGAUGUGCUUUUACUUCAUCAAACGCCACUCCAAACAUACAUCAAGUAUAACAAUCUGUUUGAAAUCGGGGUUUACAAAUCUUAAUAUCUUAUUUUUCAAAUGCUAUUGAUGUUCAUAUACUUCCACCGAUUGAUGAUAGCCGUACUGCAUUCAAGAUAGUCUCAUCCAUCCACUAGCAAAAUGUUGAAGGUGUCAACCUUCCCAUUAAGUUGUUGAAAAUGUGUUAAAAGAUUGAAGGAUCUAGAUAAGCAUACAUCUGAGGAUGUUGUGUUACUUGAGAUUCUUAAUUUAAAUGUUUUCAUGUAUUAUGUUAUUGUGUAUUUUAGAAUCUGUCUCCUUAGGACGAAGUUGUUUUUUUUUCUGGUUACUUAGGAUGAGGUUGUUUGGUCUACUUUAAUAAUACUAUUUUUAAAUAUUCUAGUUCUAAUACCAAUUUCCUUUUUUUUUUGGUGAUGCUGCAUUUUCUUUAUUUAUUUUUUAUCAGAACAAGUACUGUUGUGCUAUUAUGUGCAACUCAUGUUGGGGUAUGUAGUGCGUUUACUUUAUGGAGAAGUUAAUUUGACUUGAUGCAUUCUGCAUUAAUUUUUAAUUUUAAUUAUGCAGCCUUAUGGAGUAUACGUGUUAACAUUAAAAUAACUUUUGAUAAUAAUUUAGGAGAUAUUUGCUAAAAAAGGACAUUUAUUCUGUCAAUACACACUGGUUGCAAAAGCAAUAAACACACUUUGAAAUUUUUCUUGCUGUCGAUACCGAAAUACAUUUGUGCGGCUUAUUCAAGUUUAUUGCUGCUGCGCUCAACUGAGUUAUACUGCAGUGCUUUUUAUUCUUCAGUUAUUACUUCAGCAAAACCUUGUUCAAUCCAUGCAUCUGGUGGCAACCAUGCCUUGAAAUUGUUAGCAGGUUAGAUAUAUCACCUUUAUGAAUGUUGGUUUCAUUUCUGUUGGUAUUGUUGUGUUUAAAUUUGUCCCAGUUGUUUGCUUUUGUGUAGUUUUUAACACAGUUAAUAACUGAUAAAUACCAACAUGCUAAAACUUUGUGAUUGCAAAUAUUAUUGCUAAAACUUUAUUUUCAUCAUCAAUCCAAUCAAUAAACACUUCUGUGUAAAACUCAGUGGCCAAACCAAAUUUAUGUUGCCCAAUGCCCAUCAUGUGCAAUUUUUGAAACAAUGAUCUACUACCUUUUCAAUAUUGUUAUAGAAUCUUUGGCAUAGGAUUUUGCAAUUUAGUUAAGUUCUAGGAUGGAACGAUGUUGUUAAGGAUACACCAUAUCAGGUUCUUUUGCCUAGGUGGAACAUUUACUUUCGAAACUUUUUUUCAGUUCAUUCUUUAUGACAUAACCCAUAAGACAUUUGUCCUCAAAUAUUUGUGCUAGGACAUUAAAUCCGUUGAGAUAGGUGAUUAAAUUGUCUUUCCAUUAAUUGAAUUGUCAUUAAUAGAAGCCUUCAUACAUCUGGCCAUUAGGGAUUCAGGUUGAGGAUAACUCUGUAGCCUUGUUUAUCCCUAUGUUCUGAAACCAGCACUCCUUUAGCAGAACACGCUAAAUUCUGCUGCACAUAGCAGGACUAGAGAACAGUUCAGCAAGAAAGGCUUAGAUGGUAAUGUCCAAAACAUGGUUUUAUCAUCUGCAAACACUCACAACAAUUUGAUGCACUUGGAUUGUUAGUAGCGAUGGAGUGGAUGAGAAAUCUAGCUUUUGACAAAGUUGUCUUUGGUUUGGACUGUUAAAACUUAGUUCAGCUGUGCGUGAUGACACAUAAUUUGACGUUGUCUUAGCUUGUUGUAGAGCUAUUUUAUCUGGUUUUUGUAACAACUUUUAUGUCAAGUUUUUUAGGAGAGGUCAAUAUGCUUGCGCAAAAUCUUGCAAAUGAGGCUAUAAUGUUAGUUCUCAACUUUGUUU